This is a non-coding RNA of Corylus avellana, 930 nucleotides long. The record is from RefSeq and is a predicted model, not a curated record. NCBI's taxonomy places the organism in Eukaryota, Viridiplantae, Streptophyta, Magnoliopsida, Fagales, Betulaceae.
UCAGUCCAAUAAAGUUAGUCAAUCUUGAACCACUAUAAACAAUAGUGAUAAGAAAUGAACCGGAGAUGAUCUGUACGUUUCCUAUAAAUACAGGCUUUUGCCUUCUAAAUUUUUUGUGUCUUAGAGAGGUUAUAAUCGAUAGCCUUGCUUAGCUAGAGAGUUUGUGUGGAGAAAACUAAUUUCAUUGUGAGAGAAGGAGGUUUUAUUUGUACUGAGGGAUUUGGAAUUGUGUGUUUUUCACCGCCUUUUUCUAUAUUUUAUCGGUAAAUUUGGUCUCCGUUUAUCAAGUUUGUCACGAAAAGACAAAAUAGAAAUGGCAAAAUUUCAUUCAACACCAAAGAAUGGCGGGCUUCCAUUAUUUACCCGUGCUUCAAUCCUACCAAUCAUGAUUGUCACCUUCUUUCUUAUGCAAAUGGUUUUGAUUGACGCAGAUCACAAUUUGAGGGUGGUUGUACGAAAAGUUUACCGUCAGCCCCCUCCCCCUCCAAAACAGGCAAGUACCAUUCAUACGGACAUUUACCCUCGGCCCCCUCUGCGACAUCAGCCACCACCACCGGCAGGGGGCACCCACCGAUAGACUUCCACAGUUCCACACGGAAUGAUAAGUCCAGCAGCAACCUCUAGUAGUCCACAUAUUUACUCGUUUUGAAUGCUAGGCAACAUAAUAUUGUUCAGGGAAUGAUUUAUUAUUUCAGUGGCGACCAUAGAAUAUGAUAAAUGAUAAUUGUAGCUACACAUAUCUCCUAGUGUUGUUGGGUAGAGUCCAAGUGGAUGGCAAGUUGAAGACAAUCAACACAAAAUACUUAAAGUCAGUGUUAUAUAUUUGGAAUAACGAUUUUAUUUAUUUGGUUCAGAAAAUUGUAAUGGACUCGUAGAGUUUUCAAAAACAAUACAAUUCAGUCCUAUAAGUUACGUUAAUAUUUUAUGGAU